This 427-nucleotide ribosomal RNA is filed under the name uncultured bacterium. RNAcentral's name for it is "bacterial SSU rRNA". It matches the Rfam family "Bacterial small subunit ribosomal RNA", at positions 355 to 775 of the family's 1533-position model. The record is from RNAcentral.
UGGGGAAUAUUGGACAAUGGGCGAAAGCCUGAUCCAGCAAUUCCGCGUGUGUGAAGAAGGCCUUCGGGUUGUAAAGCACUUUAGGCAGGGAAGAAAAAAUCGGAGUGAAUAACUCCGGUCUUGACGGUACCUGAGAAAUAAGCACCGGCUAACUCUGUGCCAGCAGCCGCGGUAAUACAGAGGGUGCAAGCGUUAAUCGGAUUUACUGGGCGUAAAGCGUGCGUAGGCGGCUCGCUAAGUCGGUUGUGAAAUCCCUGGGCUUAACCUGGGAACUGCAGUCGAUACUGGCGGACUAGAGUACGGUAGAGGGUGGCGGAACUCCGGGUGUAGCGGUGAAAUGCGUAGAUAUCCGGAAGAACACCGAUGGCGAAGGCAACCACCUGGGCCUGUACUGACGCUGAGGUACGAAAGCGUGGGGAGCAAACAG